This 775-nucleotide ribosomal RNA is filed under the name uncultured Neocallimastigales. RNAcentral describes it as "partial large subunit ribosomal RNA". It matches the Rfam family "Eukaryotic large subunit ribosomal RNA", at positions 24 to 649 of the family's 3401-position model. The record is from RNAcentral. Lineage: Eukaryota; Fungi; Neocallimastigomycota; Neocallimastigomycetes; Neocallimastigales.
AUGUGAUCGUCUCUCGCAUAUCAAUAAGCGGAGGAAAAGAAACUAACAAGGAUUCCCCUAGUAACGGCGAGUGAAGCGGGAAGAGCUCAAAUUUGAAAUCUUAAAGGGUUUCCCUUUACGAAUUGUAGUUUAAAGAAGUGUUUUCUGUUGAGGUUUUGGUAAAAGUUCUUUGGAAUAGGACAUCAUAGAGGGUGAGAAUCCCGUAUUUGACCUUUACUUUCAACUUUGUGAUAGCACUUUCAAAGAGUCGGAUUGUUUGGGAAUGCAGUCCAAAAUGGGUGGUAAAUUUCAUCUAAAGCUAAAUAUUGGCGAGAGACCGAUAGCGAACAAGUACCGUGAGGGAAAGAUGAAAAGAACUUUGAAAGGAGAGUUAAACAGUACGUGAAGUUGUCAAAAGGGAAGCGUUUGACACCAGUGUUGUUUUUCUGAAAAUCAAUUAAAGAACUGUUUAUGCCUAAGUUGUUUAGACUUUAUCAGCUAUCUGCUUAGUUUUGAGCUUUUCUUUAAUGCACUUUUCAGUUAACAAGUCAACAUCAAUUUCUUUUGCUGUAAAAAAGCUUGAGGAAGGUGGCUUGAGAUUCGUCUUAAGUGUUUAUAGCCUCUUGCCUAUGCAGUCGGAGAGAUUGAGGUCUGCAGCGUAGAUCCUUCGGGGCUAAAUGCAUUUGUGCUAAGUUAUAGCAUUUUAUAGACAACUUGUUGACUAUGAUUUGUCUUGUAGCUUACUCGCUUAUGUUAUUUUACCUACGCUUAGGAUGUUGAGUAGCGACAUACGCAC